Pseudopipra pipra is the source of this 4323-nucleotide long non-coding RNA. RefSeq lists it as uncharacterized. Lineage: Eukaryota; Metazoa; Chordata; Aves; Passeriformes; Pipridae. The record is from RefSeq and is a predicted model, not a curated record. The transcript is spliced from 2 exons.
CUGUCUCGUAUUGUCCUUUUUAGCCACCAGCGCACUUGUAACAAAUGUGGGUGGAGCCCUCCCCAAAUCUUCACGAAGCCUGGCCAUGAUGAUAUAGCUCUGCUUUUAGAGACUUGUAAUACAUGGGGGUUUUGCCACCGUAAAUCUGACAACACUCUGUCAGAAGAUCUUGUCCUGAUUCUCUACAUGUAAAAUCCUAAAAAUUCCACUGAUCACAGACAGAGUUAUGGUCAUCUGUAGGUACAGUCACGUGAUGCAAUAAUGAACAAAUAAUAUGAAUAUCAUAAAGAUUUUGGGACAGAAAACAACUGGAAAGUCUUGAGGAAAUCCAAGCACCUAAGGAAUCUACGUAAGAAGAUACUUCAUCCUUCUGGAAACUUGUUAAAAAGGACUAAGAGAAAGGCCUUUUUUACUGACUUAGCGCAGCCCAGGUAGGAAUGCACCUGGCACUGGAUGCAGACAACAGCUGUCUCACCAGCAUCCAUAAUCUGUACUGGUGGCUUCCUGGCUGUACCUGUGUGCCCUGAAUGUAAAAAGCAUCUGUUUCACAUUUAUUCAUUUACUCAGAUGGCAUUAUCUACAUUACUUGCUACCUUUGGACACAAGACUCUCAUUUAUAAUUCAUAGUACACAGAUGCUUACAGAGAGUAGAAGCUUUGGCUACAUUACCUGUCACUCUUAGUAUAUUUUGUAUUCAUGGUGGGUAAAUAUACAAGUAUAAAGCUGCCAUAUUGUGUAUGACUAUCUAUAAUGCAUUAGCAAACAGUUGUUUGAUCAUUUAUACUGUCAUUCUUUGUGGUUGAAAUGAUGUUAGAAUGAAAAAUGAAACAAACUGUGGGUUCACUUUCCCUAAUUUUCUUUUUCUCUCUCUUUCUGUGCAGUGCCGGUACUUUCCAAGUUUUUUGGAAAAUGAAGGUGAUUUUGACUCAUUUUGUUCCUCUUGCUCUUCUCUUUGUAUGAUUAUCAUUCAGGACUCGGUCAGCUAUUCAAUAAGUUCACCAGUGCAGCUGGCUUCAGAAGAAGAUGUUUCCUAUUCUUUGCGUUCAUAGGCUCAUAAAUCCAGCCUGCUGAGAAUAUUAAAAGGAGAAAAAUACUCAGGCAGGAAUAAAGCAUAUCAGAAAGAGAGAGUGAAUGUAACUGGGGAAACAUUUACUCAAAAUUACAUAUUAAGCAAUUUGCUCUUUAAUACUGAAGGAAUAUAUAGAGAAAAUAUAUUAACUGUACUUACCAAGAGCCCUCUGAAUCCAUCAAAUGCUGUUAAAACCAGCCAUUUUUGAACAAGAAGAACAUUCUGUAUACCAUGUAUUGUUUUCAAAAGUUAUUUUUAGUGCAGUAAAUAUUAAAGAAUGUCAUUGUCCCUUGCAUGAGCUCUCACUCAUUUUUCAGGAAGCUUUGCCAGAGAUGCUUGACUUAAGAACCCAUUAAAAUGAAAAUGUACUCAGGAACCUUGCAGGAACAGUGCUUGAAGACAUGGGUGCCAAGCAUGCUUGGCAGCCUGGAAAGCUUACAGAGCUCUCUGAACAGGAAUGCCAUCACAUUAAAGAAUUAGCAUAGCCCCAGGCACCAGUCUUUUUUUUUUUUUCCAGUAGAUGUGAAUGACAUUUUGUAUCUGAGGCAGUGUUUAAAAUAUUCCUUACUCGCACAUAAGUUUUUUAUGACUACAUUAAAAAGCAAAAGGUUGGUUUGUUCCUGUUGACAUUUGUUCCUAUUCCUCUCUCUCACUGGGCACUACAUCUCAAAUAAAGCUUUGAUGUUCAUCUCGCCUUCCACAGCUUUCUCACUCUCUCCAAAUAUUACUACUGCCUCCUGCUCAGACUUCUUCUGCUAGGCAGAAUCUGUUCUGUCAUUCUUCCUAAAGUCUACCAGAUGCCACAAAUUCAGUAAACUCCCAAAAAAAUCCCUGAAAGUCUUUUACCUUCUCAGUAGUGCCUCCUUUCAAAGGUUCGCUCUUUGAAAAUGCAGAUAAAAUAUAUUAAUAAAUACAGAAAGAAUCUGAAUAUCAGUAUUGAGGAGCCUAAAAUGAACUUCUCUAUUCACUGACCCUAGUCUAUGAGAAUUGAAGUUGGGGAAAAUUGGAGAAAUAAUCACUCAGCAGCCUCAUCAAUCAAACCAGCAGCUUAGGCUGCUAAUUAUUCCCUGGUGCAGAUACCUGAGAAUUGAGAAUUACAAAUAUGUGGCUAUUCUGACCACUCACCAAGGAAACUCAGGUUAUUGAUUCCACUACGUGAAAAUAAUCCACCUAACUCUCAGUUUCUUUCUCUUGGGAAAUCUUCUUGCAUAAGGUUCUCUGACAAAGAACAUUUAACCAAAAAAUAUAGUUGCUGACGGCUAAGCUUCAUAUUAUCCUAAUGGACUCCAUUUUGCCAAUUGCUUUCUGUACAGAAAAAUAAAACAAAAAUAAAACUUGUCUUUUCUCCCCAUUAGUCAAAUUCUCUGCAUAGAAGCAGCUCAUACCUUUGUUCAUUAGGCUGCACACAGCCUGAAAGGCUGGGUCAGGAGGCUGCAGUUGUUUCUGGUUUCCUACAUCCAUGUGAUACUAUUUGAAAUUGCUCCAUCCAUCAGGCUACUGCAGAUUGUUCUUUCAGUCUGUAUUAAUCACAGUGGACUAAUCUCACUGCACUGAUGGUGUUUACAUGGGACAAGAACAGUCAUGACCUGAGUUUGGUGGCUUGUUUCUCAAUGAAAAUCAGAACAAGUAGUGCCUGAACUCUCCAGUGUCUGGGGAUGGUUACUCUUAAGUGUUUUACAGAGACAUGCCACGGGAAGAAGAAGGUAUCGUGUUUCCAUGUAAGAGCUUCCAACAGUUUGUCCCUGACAAAUUCCAGAUAUAGAUUUCCAUUUUAGAGACUGUGAACAGCUAAGAACAGAGAAAGCGAAUUAGGUCGAAGAGCUGCUAAGACAUUUUGAAGUGAGAUCUCAAAAAGCAUGAUAUUUAGCCUAGCUUGGUAAUUUCAUGUAGGGGUCAAAUACUAUCUCUAUGACUUCCCACCCACAAUUCAAAAUUUUGUUUAAUUUCUAUGUUAUACUUCAGGAAGUAGUGCCAAUUUUUUACCAAACAGUGUUCUAAUUUUCAGCAACUGCAUUCUAGAUUUCUGGAGCUUAUUGCUAAGUAACUUUGGAAAGUUUGUAUCAAUGUUAUUAGCGUUAUUUACCUUUUAAAGCAUGACUUCACUGCUAGUCCCUAAAAAUAUCUGUGCUAGAGGUAUUUUUUACCCUUGAUUGCGAUGGACGCCUGUUGAAAACUCUGAAUCUGGUAACAAAACUUUCAUGGCACAGAGCCUGAGAAUCCUCAAACAUCACUGCAGUCUUCAGCUUAAAUCCAUAAACACUCUAGUAUAGACAGUUACAACAGAUUUUCACACUUUCAUAAAAAAGCACAGUGCACAAUUUUGAUAUUUUUUUUUAGAAAAGCCCUCAUUGCCUCACUGUUCUAAGGCCACUUUGGUACAAGGAUUUGUUAUCUUGGCUGACAACUGCACUGAAGCCCAUAAGAAUCUCCUUUUUUUGCUCUAACAGGCAAAUUCCCUGUUUUCUGAGAAUCCUUUCUAGGAAGGCAGUGCUGAAUGUGUAUCAGACUUGAAAAGAAAGCCUAUCUAUGCUGCCAUUUUCGCUUUUUAUUUUUCUAAUUUGGAACUCAGCUCACAUCCAGCCCGAAGAAGCAAUUCUGCGUGUGGAAAAUGCUGCAGCUGGUUUCCUCCAGUGCUUCCCGUAUUCAUAGCGAGGGAGGCAGUGGUGGGCUUACACAAGAUUGGCUUAAAUGGGAAAUCAAUACUGGUUCCUCAGUUCCUACAAAAGAGCUGAACUGGGCUGGAUUGGCUCCAAGCAGAAAAAAAGGAGUUAAGUGGAAAAAACUGGCUGCCAGUGGGAUAGGUACUCUGCUGCAUACGAGGCUGUUUGGGUCUCUGCCACUGAACCCAUCACAAGAAGUCUGAGAUAACCUGGCUUACCUCCUACCAUCUGGUUUUCAAUGAAUGAUAAAUAUUGGAAAAAUAAAAGUUGGAGGCUUUUUUUCCCUAGGCAUAUAUUAGCUUAUAAAUACAUAAAUGUUUCUGUUCAGCAUCAGUAGAAUUUGUACCUUAUACUGUACUAACCAGUUACAAAAGGGGUUGAAAACUUGUUCUGCAGAUGAAAAGUGAAAUCAUUGGUGUGAUUCCUUGUUCUACAGCUAAGGAGAAACAUGUGAUCUAAUUAGCAAUUCCAUCAGACAUUGCUCAGUGAUUGGAACUUAGUUUCGCAGGGUCUCACUUGACAAGACUUUCCAUUUAAUCUCUUGUAUUUAAAUUUUCUAUGAAAUAAAUCUCAAUAAAAUUCACAUUUCCGAAA